Long non-coding RNA from Mytilus californianus (California mussel), 597 nucleotides. RefSeq lists it as uncharacterized. The record is from RefSeq and is a predicted model, not a curated record. Lineage: Eukaryota; Metazoa; Mollusca; Bivalvia; Mytilida; Mytilidae. The transcript is spliced from 3 exons.
AGGUUCUUCUGUGAUAUGUUUUCAUGGUGUGGGAAUAAGACUUGGUGGUCUAAUACAGCUAAUAUGAAGGUUAGCAUCACAGCUUGUCUGUAAAGAUUGAAGCUGGGAGUGGGCAUUGGAGCUGACUUUUAUUGUAACUGUGGCUGCAUAAAAGGGCUAUGUGAUUUUACUGUAACAGUAAAGAAUGUAAUUCAGACUAUUUUUGUGUAUGUUUGAGAAAAUGUUUAUAAUUUUUACAAAAAGAAAAAAAAAUUAUGUACAGGUUCUCCAUUUUCAACAAGAUUGGAAGUUGUAGGUUAAUAGGUCUUUGAAAUUUCAAAAAUUACUUUCUAUUUUCUGUUCAUACUCAUGUCUAGGCAAAACACUUCCAGUAGUUUAAGAAUGGAGAAUCUAAAAAAAAAAGAAAAAGAAAAGAAAAGAAAAAGAAAAAAAUGUUCAACUAUUGAAAUGUUUUUCAUUUUUGCAAAUUGUAAUAUAUUUUUUCACUUUUGUGUCAUUUUUAGCUGAGUUUAUAACAAAGGGUAUAUUAUUUUAAGAAUAUUUUACAAGAAGCAUAGUUGAAGAAUAUCUUGAUGAAAGUAGAUUGAUUGAUUUUUU